This is an RNA transcript of Zea mays, 2793 nucleotides long. It is a transcript of the gene named probable bifunctional riboflavin biosynthesis protein RIBA 1, chloroplastic, with no coding region annotated. The transcript is spliced from 4 exons. Lineage: Eukaryota; Viridiplantae; Streptophyta; Magnoliopsida; Poales; Poaceae. The record is from RefSeq and is a predicted model, not a curated record.
UGGCUCCAUGGCUUUGUUACCAAAACUGCAACAAUUUGCAAAGAGGGAGAACCUGAAGAUAAUAUCAAUUGCAGACCUGAUAAGGGUGAUGUUGGGGAUGGACAAGAGAUCUUAGUACGAGUGCAUUCGGAGUGCCUAACUGGGGACAUAUUUGGAUCAGCGAGAUGCGAUUAUGGGAAUUAACUUGCUCUGGCAAUGACCAUGAUUGAGAAAACUGGCCGGGGUGUAGUAGUCUAUCUUCGUGGCCAUGAGGGUAGGGGUAUUGGGCUGGGUCACAAGCUUCAAGCAUACAACUUACAAGAUGAUGGGCGCGAUACUGUCGAGGCAAACUUGGAGCUAGGGCUGCCUGCUGACUCGCGGGAGUACGGUAUAGGUGCACAGAUAUUACGCCAUCUUGGUGCCAGGACCAUGCGGCUGAUGACUAACAACCCUGCCAAGUACACUGGACUCAAGGGCUAUGGUUUAAGUGUCCUUGGUAGAGUGCCAUUGCUAACACCGAUAACCACCGAGAAUAGGCGCUAUAUGGAAACAAAGCGAUUGAAGAUGGGGCAUGUUUAUGGAAGCCGCUCCAGUAAUCAUGCAAACGGCAGUGGCUUGGCUGGUGCUGGCGAGAGAGAGGAGCAGGAUCAGAAUGACAGUGCUGGCGUGCAAGAGCGAACUCCAGAAGCUUGAGUGCCUAACUCUGCGUUCCUUAGAGCUGCUCCAAUGGGAGUCUUAAAAAGAGAUGCAUCUUAAAAUAUAGGGCUCCAUGGCAAAAAAAUCACUCCAACGGGGACCUCAUUUUACAAAAACUCAGGAAACAAAUUUGGGCUCCGGUCUCAUUGGUCCCAAAUGUAGGACUUGAAACUAUCGGCCCUAUUCUCGUUCCCACGCCCCCACGACCUUCGGUCUUUUCCUGUUGCAUUCGUUCUCAAGCCGUCUCUCCCACAAACCAAACCCUCUGCCUGUCGAGAAGCAUUGGCGAGAUGGAUGGACGGCCACCGCCUUUUCCUCGUUCACGGCCAACAGGUUGGCCUCGUUGAACUUCCAUGGAGAUGGCACUAGAUGUGAUAGGGAGAUCAUCAGCUGUGUCUUCUCCGCCAGAUUUGCGCAGGCCUCCUGUGGCCGUGGCUGCAGAGCGAAGGCCUGCAAGUAUGUCUGCAACUUCCCAACAGACACAAGGACAAGCGUCUUGGCAUCGAAUCGCUGCAGACCAUGCCGAUCGGAGUUUAUCAGUGGCACCGAUGAUGUAUCAAGAUCCAUUGUCAAUGAUUGAUGACUAUAGGUAAUAACCUUUCUGUUGAGAUUAGUAGUCGAUUAUAUUUGCUCAUGAAUUCAAUCGAUGGUGAUCUGGGAUCUCCAUGGUUGAGAAAUUGAAGUCAAGGCCUGGUGAGGUUACUUGUACUGGUAGGUGCUGAUAGAUGUAGUGCUCACCGAUGCUUGUGAAUUGAAUUAUUGGUUCUGAAAAUAUCCUCACUUCAACCAUGCAUACGAGAUUAUGAGUAAAUGUGAAUUCCAUACACUCUGUUGCCCCAGUCCAAUACAACCUUGCUGAACCUUGCAUAUUUGUGUGAGCAGGUACAUUUUUGGGAGUCUCUUUAAUGUUUUUCUUGUUUGGUCUCAUAAUUAGUGGAGUACUUCAACUUAUGUGCAUUAUUAUAUCAAUUUGAUUACCAAACUUUAUUGUGUAUAGCGUCAAAGCUGUUUUGAAUGUCUUGUGUUUGUGUAUAUUUCAUUCUAAUUCCAUAACCAGAGUCUGCUCAUAUUUUUACACUACUCUAUUGAACCAAGAACCUGAAGAUGUAUUUGCCUGCCAAGAAAAUAUGGAGAGCGAAAAUGAGGUCAUGGAGUCACCACCAUUGAAUGAUUCAAAUUCACAGUCAAAACCAAAGGGUCGAUCCAAGAAUUUUAAUGAAGCUGAAGACAUUUUGUUGAUGUCAGCUUAUCUUAACAUACGUAAAGAUGCAAUUACUGGAAGGGAUCAAUAAGAAGGCAACUUUUGGGAAAGAGUUGAGAAGUACUUUAACGUUAACAGGACAUUUGAGUCAGAUCGUAACUGGUCAUCGUUGAAGCAUCGGUGGGGUAUAAUUCACAAAUAAGUUAGUAGUUUCCAAGGUUUCCAUGACAGUAUCGAAAGGAAAAAUGAAAGUGGGAAGACAAGUGAUGAUAAGCUGGCUGAAGCAAAUGUAAUGUUCCAUCAAUUUAAAAAUAAGGCCUUUUCUUUGUUCCAUGCGUGGAACAUUCUCAGACAUGAGCCAAAGUGGGCUGAAGAUAAAACAUCUAAUGAAGGGAAUGCAAAUGGGGACAGUCAUCCCAAUGCUCAAAGACCUGCAGGAAGGAAAGCUGAAAAGGAAAAGAUGAAAGCAAAAAGGCGCAACAGUGAUGAAGAGUCUGAUCCUUUCAUUGAAGAGGUAAAAAAAUUUGAGAGAAUCGAGAGAGAAAACUGAGAGCGAACGAAAGGAGCGUGAUGAAAGAUACUUUGAGCUGCAUAAGAAAAAAGUAGACUUGGAGCAAGACCAGCAUGACAAGUUGAUAAUGGCACUUGAGUCUUGACACGAGCACAAUGGAUGACCAAGGAAAACAGUAUUUUCAGUUGAUGAAAGAAGAUAUUUUAGCUCGACGCUUUGGGAGUAGGCAGCCAUAGUUAUUUAGUUUUUAAUACUUUAGACUUUUUUCCAUUCAAAACAGAUUAUCUUGAUGUUCAUGUAAUGUAAGAACAUAUUUUCAUUCAAAGCAGAUUAUCUUGAUGUUUGCAACAAUCUGUGUUGACAUUGUUUUCUGGUUACUGUAAAAGUUGAGUUGAAAUUUUGCUUC